Molecule: ribosomal RNA, 460 nt
Filed under: uncultured bacterium
Lineage: Bacteria
Description: partial 16S ribosomal RNA
Rfam family: Bacterial small subunit ribosomal RNA
Source: RNAcentral
CCUACGGGCGGCAGCAGUGAGGAAUAUUGGUCAAUGGACGAGAGUCUGAACCAGCCAAGUAGCGUGAAGGAUGACUGCCCUAUGGGUUGUAAACUUCUUUUAUAUGGGAAUAAAACGUUCCACGUGUGGGAUUUUGUAUGUACCAUAUGAAUAAGGAUCGGCUAACUCCGUGCCAGCAGCCGCGGUAAUACGGAGGAUCCGAGCGUUAUCCGGAUUUAUUGGGUUUAAAGGGAGCGUAGGUGGAUUGUUAAGUCAGUUGUGAAAGUUUGCGGCUCAACCGUAAAAUUGCAGUUGAAACUGGCAGUCUUGAGUACAGUAGAGGUGGGCGGAAUUCGUGGUGUAGCGGUGAAAUGCUUAGAGAUCACGAAGAACUCCGAUUGCGAAGGCAGUUCACUGGACUGCAACUGACACUGAGGCUCGAAAGUGUGGGUAUCAAACAGGAUUAGAUACCCCAGUAGUC